RNAcentral lists this ribosomal RNA (327 nucleotides) under uncultured eukaryote. RNAcentral's name for it is "partial 18S ribosomal RNA". It matches the Rfam family "Eukaryotic small subunit ribosomal RNA", at positions 1470 to 1796 of the family's 1831-position model. The record is from RNAcentral.
CCCUUAGAUGUUCUGGGCCGCACACGCGCUACACUGAAGGAGGCAGCGUGUACUCCUGGAUCGAAAGAUUUGGGUAACCCGCGAAUCUCCUUCGUGCUAGGGAUUGAGGUUUGCAAUUAUCCUUCAUGAACGAGGAAUUCCCAGUAAGUGCAAGUCAUAAGCUUGCGCUGACUACAUCCCUGCCCUUUGUACACACCGCCCGUCGCUACUACCGAUUGAAUGAUUUAGUGAGGACUUCGGACUGGGACCGAUGCGGCUUUCGGGCUGCGUCGGUAUUCUGGAAAGAUGUCCAAACUGUAUCAUUUAGAGGAAGUAAAANUCGUANCA